Molecule: non-coding RNA, 312 nt
Organism: Camellia sinensis
Lineage: Eukaryota; Viridiplantae; Streptophyta; Magnoliopsida; Ericales; Theaceae
Source: RefSeq, a predicted model, not a curated record
AUUAGGAAGUCCUGAAAAUGUCACUGGAUGUGUACUUCUUCUUUUGUACUGGUUAUGCGAGCAUACUACCCUCAUUCAACCUCAAGGAAAAAAUUUGUGUCCAAGGCUCCUUCGAUGGGACUUAUCAACAUUGAGGAAAAAGCUAAUGAAGAGGUCAUUGCAAACACUAAAGCCCGAAGAGGUAAAUCACAAUGAACUGAAGCCCAUUUCCAGAGAAGAAAUGGCCCUCAUUUGCAAUGAUGAUGAAGAAGAUGCAUUGGAAAUAGAGAAAAAUUUGGAGACUGAAGAAGAUGCAUUGGACAUGGAGGAAAA